AACUCCAACAAGGAAAAGGUUGCUCUUUUCAGAGAGUCUUAGCCCUGUCUUCGGUCCUGAAAAUGGAUAAAAUGUUGCCCAUUUGAAUGAACAAGGAGGAAUUUUCAAAACUCCAACAAGGAAAAGGCUUUUCUUUUCGGAGAGUUUGAGCCCUGUCUUCGAAAGUAGACAAAAAGUGGCCCGCCUGAGUGAUCAAGAAAUAAUUAGCAUUGAAUGGGAAACAGAAGAAACUAAGGAGGAUACAAUUGAAGAUAGUCCAGUAAGCUUGUUUGAGGAAGUGAACAAGCUGAGAGCCAGACUAUACCAUUUGGAGGCUAUGCUGAUAGCACAUGUAUGCAAGUGCAAGUGUUAAUUGCAUUUGUGUGUAAACAUAACGCGGGACAUUGGUUAUAUAGUUUUUCAAAUAUAUAUAAAACAUGGGAUUCUAGUGAUGUUGUUUUUAUUAUUGAUCGAUUGGAGUGUAAUUAUUUUUUCAUGAUUAAACCAUGGUAAGUGUAACUAAAAAAAUCUCACUGAACCGUUCUUAUACAAAAGGGUUUAUCAGAAAAGUGUUGUCAUGAUAUAUUGUUAAAAGAUUAUGCAAGUUACUUCAGCGAUCGAUAUGACGUACACAAGUGGUUUGAACUUGUUUCAACAGAUUACGGUUUAAAAUGACAACUUAAGACAAUUCCAAUGGGUUACAUUCUUUAUUAAUUUACCGUUAUUAAUACACAAUAUAUUGUUAUAUUUCAAGUGAAUAUAAUGACCACAGUUAAACAAAAAGUUACAAUUAUCUGUCCUUCGUUUGUUUCAUUCACCACUCUGUAAAAUUGUUUGGAUUACACUCUGGACAUGUUAGAAAUCCCAACUGAUUCAUGUGGUCCGAUCUAUAAGGACACGGUACGACAGAAGACAGUUCGGGUACAAAGUCACCCAUCACACUGGCAGUGUCUUUCAAUUUGUUAUAUUCGGCAGGUCUCAAAAAAAUGCCUUUUUUGGUCGGUAUGACAUCGGUUUGAUUUGGGGGUACCCAAUAUUGUCUAAGGUCUACACAGAUUGAGUUCUCUUGAACAGUGGCGUAGACGUUUCCCCCCAGGUGAGAUUUAUACUCCCUCUUUUCCGUUAAGGCCUGGUCAAUAAAGUCGAGACUGUCGACCAACAUUUUCCAUCGAGUUAAGGGUAGACUAAUUCCUUUUUUCGUGGGAAUCAUAUUUUUCUGGGAAUCCCACUCUCUGAUGUCGAUUCUUAUAUCAUCAUUCCACUCUUUGGCUUGGACGAAUCUGUUAUUUCCCAAUUCGAUAUUGCAAUGUACUGCCAUGUCGACGUAUUUCGUUGUGUAAUGUUUAUUGGUCGUUAUGGUUACAAACAAGAAGAACCUUGUUGUAUCAAUACAUGUUUCACGCAGAAGGAAGCGUUGGGUCGAUUUAGACGUUUGGCGGGAAAGUCAGUGGUUGGGUCCAAGGGUAUGGGGUGUUUGAGAGGGAUUCUUGUGUUCGGUAUCGGGAACAUUUAGAGAACACCCCUAUCCAGUAAAUAUUGUAUUCACCCUGGGGUAUAUA
This is a long non-coding RNA of Mytilus californianus (California mussel), 1538 nucleotides long. RefSeq lists it as uncharacterized. The transcript has 3 exons. The record is from RefSeq and is a predicted model, not a curated record. NCBI's taxonomy places the organism in Eukaryota, Metazoa, Mollusca, Bivalvia, Mytilida, Mytilidae.